CGAGUCGGCUGCCGGGAGCCGCGGUAAUGCGUAGGGGGCGGGCGGUGGCCGGAAUUACUGGGCGGAAAGGGGGGGUAGGCGGUGGGCUGCGUCGGGCGUGAAAGCUCCGGGCUUAGCUGGGAGAGGGCGUCCGAAACGAGCGCACUUGGAGGGCGGUAGGGGCUGGCGGAACGCCCGGAGUAGCGGUGAAAUGCGUUGAGAUCGGGCAGAACACCAGUGGCGAAGGCGGCCAGCUGGGCCGACCCUGACGCUGAGGCGCGAAAGCCAGGGGAGCGAACGGAAUUAGAUACCCCUGUAGUC
This 300-nucleotide ribosomal RNA is filed under the name uncultured Methanotorris sp. Its description in RNAcentral is "bacterial SSU rRNA". It matches the Rfam family "Bacterial small subunit ribosomal RNA", at positions 497 to 795 of the family's 1533-position model. The record is from RNAcentral. Lineage: Archaea; Methanobacteriati; Methanobacteriota; Methanococci; Methanococcales; Methanocaldococcaceae.